Molecule: ribosomal RNA, 95 nt
Filed under: Dichostereum aff. pallescens KHL10258
Lineage: Eukaryota; Fungi; Basidiomycota; Agaricomycetes; Russulales; Lachnocladiaceae
Description: partial 5.8S ribosomal RNA
Rfam family: 5.8S ribosomal RNA
About the family: 5.8S ribosomal RNA (5.8S rRNA) is a component of the large subunit of the eukaryotic ribosome. It is transcribed by RNA polymerase I as part of the 45S precursor that also contains 18S and 28S rRNA.
Source: RNAcentral
GUAAUGUGAAUUGCAGAAUUCAGUGAAUCAUCGAAUCUUUGAACGCAACUUGCGCCCCUUGGUAUUCCGAGGGGCACGCCUGUCUGAGUGUCGUG